This 497-nucleotide ribosomal RNA is filed under the name uncultured bacterium. RNAcentral describes it as "partial 16S ribosomal RNA". It matches the Rfam family "Bacterial small subunit ribosomal RNA", at positions 28 to 507 of the family's 1533-position model. The record is from RNAcentral.
GAUGAACGCUGGCGGCGUGCCUAAUACAUGCAAGUCGAGCGAACAGACGAGGAGCUUGCUCCUCUGACGUUAGCGGCGGACGGGUGAGUAACACGUGGAUAACCUACCUAUAAGACUGGGAUAACUUCGGGAAACCGGAGCUAAUACCGGAUAAUAUAUUGAACCGCAUGGUUCAAUAGUGAAAGACGGUUUUGCUGUCACUUAUAGAUGGAUCCGCGCCGCAUUAGCUAGUUGGUAAGGUAACGGCUUACCAAGGCAACGAUGCGUAGCCGACCUGAGAGAGUGAUCGGCCACACUGGAACUGAGACACGGUCCAGACUCCUACGGGAGGCAGCAGUAGGGAAUCUACCGCAAUGGGCGAAAGCCUGACGGAGCAACGCCGCGUGAGUGAUGAAGGUCUUCGGAUCGUAAAACUCUGUUAUUAGGGAAGAACAAAUGUGUAAGUAACUAUGCACGUCUUGACGGUACCUAAUCAGAAAGCCACGGCUAACUACGUG